GAGGCAUACCUCCAGCGACUCUCAGAGGCAGCAGGAGCUGGUGCUGUGAGGACGGAGUGGGACAACCUGUGAAGAUGCCGG
Molecule: long non-coding RNA, 81 nt
Filed under: Chinchilla lanigera (long-tailed chinchilla)
Lineage: Eukaryota; Metazoa; Chordata; Mammalia; Rodentia; Chinchillidae
Description: lncRNA (ENSCLAG00000027384.1)
Source: RNAcentral